GACAGAGGUGCCAAGCGUUAGGCGGAAUCACUGGGCUUAAAGCGUGUGUAGGCGGACUGGUAAGUACCUUGUGAAAUCCCACGGCUCAACCGUGGAACUGCUUGGUAUACUGCUUGUCUUGAGCCACUUAGGGGCUACCGGAACAAAUGGUGGAGCGGUGAAAUGCGUAGAUAUCAUUUGGAACGCCAAUGGUGAAAACAGGUAGCUGGGAGUGUGCUGACGCUGAGACACGAAAGCCAGGGGAGCGAACGGG
This 253-nucleotide non-coding RNA is filed under the name uncultured bacterium. RNAcentral describes it as "partial 16S ribosomal RNA". It matches the Rfam family "Bacterial small subunit ribosomal RNA", at positions 524 to 776 of the family's 1533-position model. The record is from RNAcentral. RNAcentral also lists the same sequence under 1 other name.